RNAcentral lists this ribosomal RNA (405 nucleotides) under uncultured bacterium. Its description in RNAcentral is "bacterial SSU rRNA". It matches the Rfam family "Bacterial small subunit ribosomal RNA", at positions 355 to 776 of the family's 1533-position model. The record is from RNAcentral.
UAGGGAAUAUUGCACAAUGGGCGAAAGCCUGAUGCAGCAACGCCGCGUGCGCGAUGAAGGCCUUCGGGUCGUAAAGCGCUUUUCUGAGAGAUGAGAAAGGACAGUAUCUCAGGAAUAAGUCUCGGCUAACUACGUGCCAGCAGCCGCGGUAAAACGUAGGAGGCAAGCGUUAUCCGGAUUCACUGGGCGUAAAGCGCGUGCAGGCGGUUCGGUAAGUUGGGCGUGAAAUCUCCUGGCUUAACUAGGAGAGGUCGUUCAAUACUACCGAACUUGAGAGUGAUAGAGGAAGAUGGAAUUCCCGGUGUAGUGGUGAAAUGCGUAGAUAUCGGGAGGAACACCAGUGGCGAAAGCGAUCUUCUGGAUCAUUUCUGACGCUCAGACGCGAAAGCUAGGGUAGUAAACGGG